GACGAACGCUGGCGGCGUGCCUAAUACAUGCAAGUAGAACGCUGAAGGAGGAGCUUGCUCUUCUGGAUGAGUUGCGAACGGGUGAGUAACGCGUAGGUAACCUGCCUGGUAGCGGGGGAUAACUAUUGGAAACGAUAGCUAAUACCGCAUAAGAGUAGAUGUUGCAUGACAUUUACUUAACAGGUGCAGUUGCAUCACUAACAGAUGGACCUGCGUUGUAUUAGCUAGUUGGUGGGGUAACGGCUUACCAAGGCGACGAUACAUAGCGGACCUGAGAGGGGGAGCGGCGACGCUGGGUCUGGGACACGAACCGGAACCUUACGAGAGGCAGCAGUAGGGAACUUUCGGCAAUGGAAGGAAGUGUGACCGUGCAACGACGCGUGAGUGAAGAAGGUUUUCAGAUCGUAAAGCUCUAUUGUAAGAGAAGAACGAAUGUGAGUGUGGAAAGUUCACACUGUGACGGUAUCUUACCAGAAAGGGACGGCUAACUACGUG
This 495-nucleotide ribosomal RNA is filed under the name uncultured bacterium. RNAcentral describes it as "partial 16S ribosomal RNA". It matches the Rfam family "Bacterial small subunit ribosomal RNA", at positions 28 to 507 of the family's 1533-position model. The record is from RNAcentral.